Molecule: long non-coding RNA, 3555 nt
Filed under: Sus scrofa (pig)
Lineage: Eukaryota; Metazoa; Chordata; Mammalia; Artiodactyla; Suidae
Description: lncRNA (ENSSSCG00000057270.1)
Source: RNAcentral
UUUUUUUUUUUUUUUUUUUUUUUGGUAAGAGGGACAGCUGCUUCACAGAACUUUGAGUUAUGUCUCAAAGAAAAACUCCUCCCUUUCAUAACUAUUCCCCCAAGGGUGGUAAAUAGAGUAGACAGCCAGGCAAGAUUCAGUGACCUGCUCAGAAAGUGAUACAGUAAAACAAUGAAUGAUGAACAAUAAACACAUGAGAAUUUCCAGUCCAGGAACUGAGGUGUGGCUUCACUGACAAGCAUACACAUUUAAAUAUGUAGACAGUUGGGCCCCCAAGUUUCUGCCGAUUGAGAUGAACUGGACUUGCUCUGGUUGCCGCAUCCAUCCGAAUUCCCCUCCCCCAUAUGCCUUCUCCCUAAUGCUUUCUUGGGGCAGAAUGAACUAGACUGCUGAGCUGUCUCUCUGUCUUUCCUCACUAGUUUUCCCUAGCCCACAAUUGAUCAGUGUGGUAAGAAGAGCCUUGAACCACCACUCCUGUCUAAAUAUACUACUCCUGGUUCCCUCUAGCUACUCAGCUAAAAGGGUAACAUGCAAAUAAAAAUGAAAUGCUUCUCUUAGAAAACAAACAGAUUCUUUGAAAAGAGCUCAGGGAGAAACAGAGGAGCAGUAAAGGGUUGUUGGGAUGUUUGCUGCUUUCUGAGUCUGAAGCACAAGAUAAAGAUUGGUUAUUACAGAAAUAUUGGAUUGAAGAACUCCAGACGAUGGGGUUUUGAGAUAAAUCAAUAUUAAAUGACGUUCUUUAGUAUCACUAAGCUGCACUCACUUGUAUUUUAAGGAAGCAUUUCCAAAGCCAGUCAUAGGUCAGCCACACUAGGUUUUCUAUCUCUUUAGUUCUAUCAAAAAAAAUAUAUCAAGUUCUCUUAUGAGGGCUUUCCUGAAAAUUACGUGGGAAAGAAAAAAAUUUGUAACAAAUCAUUGUGAUGUUGUAUUGCUGACAGAUAAAUGAUGGACAUUAAGAUGGAUUUGGUCCUGUGUCUGAAACUAAGUAGGUAAUGGUGUUUGCAAUCAUGCAAAAAGCUUUUGACUCUGCAACUGCAUGGAACAGCAUAAUAACUAAGUGGGAGGGGAAAAAAAUCUCAAAGUUCAACACCAUAAAACUUAAAUAAAUGUUAAAAGGAGUCAAACUUUUACUUGGCCUCAUUACCUUGGUGAAAGAAAGCAUCAUGCAUCCACCUAAUUCAAAUAGGAGAGUCAUGAGGAAAGGACAUAAUAUUUUAACACGCGCGAGAAUUGUUCAUCGAAGUAGUCGCCAUGACUAAGUGAUGGAGAUUCGUCACCAGUGGGAAUGAUAUUUGUGCAGUUAUUUUAGACUCUGCUCCCCUAGACAUCAUCUCUUAUGCACUCUGUGAUCAGCUAGAGAAUUGUGACCACAGAGUUUGAUUUCAGAGAAUUAAACGUUCCUACUGACAAAGAGGAACUGAUGGACCAUUUCACGACGAAGGCUACGCACCCACUGUAUUAACACUGAUCCUGAAUACUGUGAUAUCAACCAACCAAUCUUUAUAAGAAUACGAAGGGCUGUUUUUCUCAGGCAAUGUAAAUAUCUGCUACCAACAAGCACUAGUGAAAUAAACAUGUGAUUCAUCAUCAUUUCUAAAAUUCUAAUAGAAAUUAUACAAUAUCCAUCCUAAGGAGCAAGAUGUCCCAAGAGCCUAAGAUCCAACCCCCUUGGGUACUAAAACGCCAGUCCAAGCUGAAUGCCUUAUGGAGCAUUGCAAUGUUGGGUCUAUCACCACUAAACACAACUAGCAGAACUGGAUGAGCUGGAACACAGAGAGCUGGGUUCCCAACAGCUGUGCAUGUUUGGAAAUUCUGGGUCUUUAGCCAGCAUUCUUAAAGAAGGAGAGGGAACACUGUUCUCAGAUCCAUUCUGGCACCAUCUCUCAGCAUAGCUGUCUAUAGGGUUAGAUAGGAGCCAUACACUCCCCUGGCCUGUGGCUCAGCCUUGGGUAGUCCAGAGCCCUGGUCAUGUCCACCACCUCUCCGGGUGAGUCUCUCCCUGCAGUCCUGGUUUCUGCCCAUCUAAACAAUGACCCUCCAGAAACAUCUGCUGGGAACCCUGUGUCUGUUGAGUUUAUCUAGGUCAGCAGUCUUGACCCCACAGAGCAUCCACAUGGGUCAGGGAUGAUGACUUUCCAUGUAAGAACAGAAGGAAGACCUGUUGAGUCCCCUCUGCACAGGGGAGAGCCUCCCAUAUGUAAGUCAAAUUCAAACAAUACCAACACACAAAGGGAGCAAGUGUAAGGAAGUCCAAAAAAGUUCUCAUUUCCCAUGGUGGUUACCUCACUGCUUAAUUUUCCUUUCCUUAUCUAAAUCUUCAAACCCUAGAAAUGCUCACUCUUUGGUAUCAUGGUGCCAUGAGCACAAGCUUCGUAAGUUUCAGCCAUCUCCCUAGAAGGUCUGAUUACUUGACCUAUUCGAACCCACCCCACAAUCAAAUGAAAGCUGCUCUGGCAAGACAUUGCAUAUCCUUUCUCUUUCCUCUGACAGCCACAGCAAAUGAGGCAGCAAUGUCAAGGAUCUUUUUAUUUACAAACACCUCUGGACUGAAACACUAGGAGACAUAACUUAGGCUGUCCCCAGGUGCCCACACAGCUUUUAUGUCAUCACAGGUUGACAACCAAGUGCUCUACCCAGAUCCUCUUUCUGAAUUUCCUCCCUCAGCUAACCGCCAAAAGCCGUCUCUCCUGGCACCUUCCUCUCAGUGUUCACUCCAUUCUUGAGCAGCAGUCAAGAACCUGUCAUUGGGGCCAGUCCAAUCUCUUACCACUUGAUUGUCCACCAUCAGUUUUAACUGAGCAUAUAAUAUGUCCAUAGUCUGACUGCCUGAGACCAAAAACAUAGAAUAUUCUGUUCCCACCCCAUAGACAAGAGACCUUGAGAGCCCAUGAGUGAUGGUUGGGCAUUAUGACAUCAGCCCAUGACCACGUAGAGUAUCAGUGAAGUCUUGUGUUGAAGAGAUAGCUGGACUUUUCCAGAGAAAUCUUGUCUUUGUGAAUAAGCUAGCCAGCUUGCCAAAGAUAUCCCAAAUAUCUUAAUUUGGCCCAAUGAUUCUGCACCUAAAAUGAGAGCCACCUAGGGACAACAGGGAACUCUCACAUGUGUGCAGCAUUCUGAAAUGAUUACCCAAAUAUCUCUUGGUGCGAAGUGGUCUUUCCUCCCCCGUCAUCUGCACAGAGUGUGCUCUGGGGGAAAACCUAGCACCUAUGCAGUUCCUGUUUGCCCAGGACAUACACGGUGGCUGCCACGGCAACCACGGUCUAUCAGCAGAGACCACUCUGUGGGAUUCUUUGAUGAGAACUGGCAGAGGCCCCAGGGGGCUUAGGGUCCCCAGGACUGCUCCACCUGUAAAUAGCCUUGGGGUAAGCCAAGCAGAUAUGGGGAAGUACCCAGGCAAACAGGUAUGCAUUCAGCAUGCCGGGUGUAAGAUAUUCCUAUCCCUUCUUCCUAAGAUGGCAUGAACUUAGGUGGCCAAACUUAUCCUUAAAAAUGUAUAUAUAUUCUUUAAGUCAUCAUCCCUAUACACACACUCUUCCACACCCAAAUCACAUUUGC